GGCAAGCUGAGGUAUGUGAACGGACGAUAUCUGAAAGAAGCCGUUGACAGGGCGAUGAACGUCUCCGGUCGCCGGAAGCGGCGUGAGCCAACGAAGACUCCUCAUUUCUUCAAGAUCAUACUCUCCGACACUCUCCAAAGUGGAAAGCUCAUGAUCCCAAAGAGGUUCGUAGCAAAAUAAGGGAACUGCCUGCCGAACCGGUUGCUUCUGAAAGUUGCAGGGGAUGCAAAUUGGCCAGUGGAGCUAGAGAAGUGUGAUGACAGGGUAUGGAUUUCCAAAGGACGGAGGAAUUUCUUGGAUUAUUACUCCAUCAAUCAUGGACAUUUGAUAGUCUUUAGAUACGAAGGCGGCUCAAUCUUACAUGUCCUAAUGUUCGAUAAAAGUGCGUCUGAGAUAGAAUAUCCCCGGAAACCCGUGGCUCCUGAAGAACGAUGAUGGUUGAAGUCGAUGAUGUCUCGACAGAGUUGGGGGAGUACACCAUUUCCCCUAGAGAAAGGAGGAGGGAAUUGAAGUCGCCAUCGUGCCGGGCGUCACCAGAUAAGCUGGUGAUGAAAUCCGAUCUGGUCAGCGAAGAUCAAAAUAAGUCCUAUGCCCAUUUGCCGACGCCACAUAAUGAAGCUAAAGGCUCUCAUUCAGGAGAUUGAAGGACUUCGAAGCUGAAGAAGAACGUGCGUGCGUAUGGCAGGAUCAAAGAGUCUAAAAAAAGAGCAACCCCUUUUGAGCAGAUUAAUCUAAGAUCUAGAUGUCCAAGCCCUCCUGAUGCUGUGAAGAAGGCCAGGAAAUUCAAAUCGGAACAUCCUUCUUUCCUCAUCGUCGUGCGGAGCUGCUACCUCAAGCACACUAACGUGAGAAGCGAGGGAAAAACAGUACUCCUUUAUCAUGUCCCUAAGAUUAGUUUCACUAUGUUGAAAGUGGUUUUCACAAGCAUGUACUUGAUCAGCAUGUGCCUGCUGGAUUUGUGAAGAGCCAGAUAAGGAAAAUCCCAGUAGUCCAAGAUGUGAGACUCGAGUUUCGGGGCAGGUCAUGGACCGGGAAGUUCUUCAACAAGCCAAAUUACUUUGGUGGAAAGUUCUCGGCUGGUUGGACCAUG
This is a long non-coding RNA of Rhodamnia argentea, 1090 nucleotides long. RefSeq lists it as uncharacterized. Lineage: Eukaryota; Viridiplantae; Streptophyta; Magnoliopsida; Myrtales; Myrtaceae. The transcript is spliced from 4 exons. The record is from RefSeq and is a predicted model, not a curated record.